This 356-nucleotide ribosomal RNA is filed under the name uncultured Stenotrophomonas sp. Its description in RNAcentral is "bacterial SSU rRNA". It matches the Rfam family "Bacterial small subunit ribosomal RNA", at positions 467 to 823 of the family's 1533-position model. The record is from RNAcentral. Lineage: Bacteria; Pseudomonadati; Pseudomonadota; Gammaproteobacteria; Lysobacterales; Lysobacteraceae.
UUCUGACGGUACCCAAAGAAUAAGCACCGGCUAACUACGUGCCAUCAGCCGCGGUAAUACGAAGGGUGCAAGCGUUACUCGGAAUUACUGGGCGUAAAGCGUGCGUAGGCGGUUGUUUAAGUCUGGUGUGAAAUCCCCGGGCUCAACCUGGGAAUUGCAGUGGAUACUGGGGGACUAGAGUGUGGUAGAGGGGAGUGGAAUUCCUGGUGUAGCAGUGAAAUGCGUAGAGAUCUGGAGGAACCCCAUGGCGAAGGCAGCCCCCUGGACCAACACUGACACUCAUGCACGAAAGCGUGGGGAGCAAACAGGAUUAAAUACCCUGGUAGUCCACGCCCUAAACGAUGCGAACUGUAUGU